Molecule: ribosomal RNA, 477 nt
Filed under: uncultured organism
Description: partial 16S ribosomal RNA
Rfam family: Bacterial small subunit ribosomal RNA
Source: RNAcentral
ACGUACACUCCUGCGGGAGGCAGCAGUGGGGAAUAUUGCACAAUGGGCGCAAGCCUGAUGCAGCCAUGCCGCGUGUAUGAAGAAGGCCUUCGGGUUGUAAAGUACUUUCAGCGGGGAGGAAGGCAAUACGGUUAAUAACCGUGUUGAUUGACGUUACCCGCAGAAGAAGCACCGGCUAACUCCGUGCCAGCAGCCGCGGUAAUACGGAGGGUGCAAGCGUUAAUCGGAAUUACUGGGCGUAAAGCGCACGCAGGCGGUCUGUCAAGUCGGAUGUGAAAUCCCCGGGCUCAACCUGGGAACUGCAUUCGAAACUGGCGGGCUUGAGUCUUGUAGAGGGGGAUAGAAUUCCAGGUGUAGCGGUGAAAUGCGUAGAGAUCUGGAGGAAUACCGGUGGCGAAGGCGGCCCCCUGGACAAAGACUGACGCUCAGGUGCGAAAGCGUGGGGAGCAAACAGGAUUAGAAACCCCGGUAGUCCCA